GGUUUCCAUUGGCCAGUGCAUGGUCAACAAAAGUCUGCUAGGAUAGACCCCCAGGGACACGAAGGGGGAGAAAACCUGCCAAUGACACCGUGUGCCCAGUGCUGCCCGAAGUGCUACUUGUCCACUUAAUCCUCAUGACAGCCCUAUGUGGUAGAUACCAUUUAGACAAGGCAUCUGAGGCACAGAGAGGUUAAAUGACUUACCCAAGGUCACACAGCAAGUAAAUGUGAUUCCAGUUUCCGGGGUCUAGCUUCAAAGCCCCAAAGUUACCUGUCAUGUGCCACAUCUCACCAUUAGAGGGUCUGUGUCCCUCUGGGAGCAGAGAGCACAGACAUGGUAAGCAAAUUCUUCACGCCUCCAACACUGACAGAAGGUAUAAGAAGAUUCCAACCCGCACACAAAGAGUGUGAGGCAAACGCAGCCAGAAGCCCAACCCUCCCGGGAGGGACACCAGUCGGGGAAUACCUUGUUGGACAUAGCAGCUGUCCAAGUGAGGGAAGCUUGGGUCUGGACAGCAGCAGUGGGGCAGGCAAGCUGGGCUGGGAAAGUGGGAUGGACUUGACCAGACUUUGGUGGACUGAGAGCCAGUGGAACGUAGUGGCCAAAGGCGUGGAUCCCUGAGCCAGCCCAAGUGUGUGUCCUCUUUCUCAACCUCAGUUUUCUUGCCUGAGGAAGUGCCAACUAUGGUCACCAUCAUGGGAAUGAAGAAGGGAAAGGUCUAGAAUGAUCCUCAAGUUUCUAACCUGGGACGACGAUGGUGUCUCGCUUUGUCUUUAUUGAUUAACCAUGUUGCUGACAUCAUAAACCUGGACUGAUAUUUGCUUUACCCCACAGAACUGAAUGUUUAAUUGGCCAUGACAUAGUUUAAAAUAGCCCCAAGAGUAAAACCAAACUUAAGUCCCUGGGAAGGAGGCCACUUGCCCUGAUGUGGACAGAGAGGAGCUGACCUAGCAACGGCACUGAUGACAUGACAAGGGGGUGGGGGAAGAGCCAUCCCUGUGAGCGUGAGGAUAAAUACCCAGGCUCCGUACCAGGAGACCGUGUGGCCUUUAGUUUCUGGGGUUAGAACUAAUGACAAUCCUUGAUCUCAUGGUUCGUGGGAUCGAGCCCUGCCCUGGGCUCUACACUAAGAGCACAGAGCCUGCUUGAAAUUCUCUCUCUCCUUCUCUCCGCCCUUCCCCCCCAGCUCACGCACACAUGCUCACUUUUUCUCUCUCUCAAAAUAAAUCAAUAAAUGUCAAAAAAAAAUAACUGAUG
RNAcentral lists this long non-coding RNA (1257 nucleotides) under Felis catus (domestic cat). RNAcentral's name for it is "lncRNA (ENSFCAG00000052101.1)". The record is from RNAcentral. Lineage: Eukaryota; Metazoa; Chordata; Mammalia; Carnivora; Felidae.